This is a non-coding RNA of Phascolarctos cinereus (koala), 2736 nucleotides long. Lineage: Eukaryota; Metazoa; Chordata; Mammalia; Diprotodontia; Phascolarctidae. The record is from RefSeq and is a predicted model, not a curated record.
UCCCGGGCCGCACCAAGGGGAGCAGGCGGCGUGAACUUUACCCGCCGAGGCCAAACUGGCCCAGGCCCGCGGCCGCCGGGCAGCGGUCCGCCCGCGGCCCCGCGCUGCCUCCUGGUCCCUCCGGAACACUUUUCUUCUUCCAAGCCCUUGACAAACCCGAAGGAAACCCCCGGCGCGGUGAGCGCGGCCCCGCGCUUCCCCCUUUUCAGCCGGGAGAGAGAGAUCAUUGUUCAGCUUUGCAGACACUUUCCAUUUGCCCAUUUCCCUGCCCUCAUUAGCCCUCCUGACAAGGCCCCGGGGGCAUGGGGGCCGGAUUAUCCCCAUUUUACAGAAUUGAAAGACAGAGGGGGAGGGAUCCUGCUCCAGGUCACUCAAAGUACGGGGCAGAGAGGACGGCUUUAAUAAAAACAAAAUACCCUGCCCCAAGGUUGUGCCUUGGGGUCUGCGGCCAGGCGGGCUUAGCCUCUUUUUAAAAAAAAAAAAAAGAAAGAAAAAGUGGUCUGUCAAUUUGUGAACAAACCGAACAAUAGAAUCAAAAUGAGUUUGGGAUCAAAGCGGAAGGCUCGGGACUGACCUAAAAUGGUUAGCACCCGGGCAGCUUUGGUGGCCACUCGGGACUCUAGGGGCCAGGAGUACAGAAGCCUCCUCAUGCCUGCCUCUCUAGACAAUUGUGCCCCCAUUCCCCUCUCUAAAAAGGCAAAAACUAAGACUAAAAAUGUUGGCCCAGCAGUUUCUGUGCUUACAAGGACCCGGAAGUUGUCAACUUUCCUAUAGGCUAAAAGGGAUCGGUACCACGUUUUUUCCCCUCAAGUACGAGAGAAUUGGACCAGGCAGCCUGGAACCCACCUGGUCCAAUGUAAUGUGUAUUUCAGGCUGCGGACAAUCGGUGCUGCCGGACUUGAAGCUCCAAUUCCACAUUGCAAGAGAUGCAAAAACUUUCAAUUGCACAAUGGUAAGAAUUGAGAGAACCCAAAAUGUGGCAUUCCCUGGCCCGACAGAUCUAGAGUGAACAAACUACAGAGAAGUGCACUUUAGUUCUGCUCUUCUACCUGGUAGGCUAUGGCAUGCAACUGGCCCAUCUAAUCCACAGCAGCGUCUCAGUCCUCCAACUGACUUGGAAUAUUCUUUGAAGGAGGCCUCAUUGUUUUGCUCUGUCAUGACAGGCUAUGAAAACCAGAGAGGAUUCCAGCACACCAACAGCACUGGAAUCUGCCUUUUGAGAGGCCUCGUCCUGUGUCACCAGACACCCUAGGCCCCUCUUCCGUAACCAGAGAGCUGUGGUGUAAGGAGAAACCUGGAACUGAAUGAGAAUCUGGAACCCAGAAAGGAUUUUCUCCAAAUUAGGCCCUCCUCGUUUGCCCAGUGGCUGUGAAACACAGAACCAGCUCCAGCAUCCCUCAUUCCAAGCAGAGACUGCACAUUCCCAGGGAAGAAGACUGAACAAGGACACACAGAUUGGAGAGCAGGGAGAAUGUUCUCUCCUUUUACUAAGGCGCAUAGUGUGUUGGGAUACAUGGACUAGACCCAAGAGCAAGAGAGCAACCUAUUAUAAUCCAAAGAGUGAGCUGCAAAAUGUGGCACAGAGAUAUGGAGCGGUGGCUGAAGGAGAGGGAAGCGCCUGCAGGGCGAACCUCAGCCCCUUGGGCAGAUGCAUUUUCCAGUCUCCUUUGAAUGUCAGAACAAACAGCUCUAAGAUAAUUUCCUGCGUUUGCUCCUUCCUCCUUCCCUCCCCCCCCACCAAGGGCCAGAUCAUGUCUUUCAGGCCCAAGGGAUCUCAAGAAGGGCUUUUGUCAGGUUCUAUCCUAGCAAUAGAGGGGAAUGACCCAAGCCCUGAGUUAUGCCCCUGCACACGUUUCCCACAAAGGCAAAACAGCAGAUAUCCAGCAGGGCUCUCUGGAGUGAGACCCGGAGCUAGGAGUUUAAGCAAAAGGGCAACUCUGUCAGUUGACGGAAGCCAGAAGCAAAGUUCAAAGCCUGGCCUGGAUUUCCAUCUGGAGUGGUCUGUUCCUUAAAAGUUUGCAACUCGGUGCAAAGAAGCAGCCCCAGUGGAGGCUUCAGGAUCAAUGUGAAAGUCUAGCACUACCAUCUGACAGAGAGCUGGAAAACUUUGGGCUGCAUAUUAAGAGAGGAAAGUGGAUUGAAGUGAGAGUCAAGGCAAUUCAUUAUGUUUCCAGCUUCUAAGUGGGAGUGGCAAAAUGCGAACUGGAGUAGUAGAGGAGAAAGUGGAAUGGAGCCUGAAUUGUACUCCACACAUCUUCCUCAGUUACUGUGUACCUGACAAGGCCAGAAAUCCCAAAGGAGCCCGCCAGGAGGUUUAAAGCACACCCAGGGCACUACCAUCUCACAGAUUUAUGCCACAGGACUCAGAGAAGUGACACCUGGGAGCAAAGUCAAGAAACACUCUAAGAAUCCUGAAUUUUAAAAGGCCACAUUUUACUCACAAAAGGAGGGAUUGCUUCUUUGGUAUCUGGUACUAAAACAAGGUGACAAGAUUCUCCUGAAAUUACCACAAAAGGCAUUAUAGUCUAAUACUGCCUGGUAACAAAGCUGAGCCCUUGAAAACAACCUGGCAUUCAGAGCUGCUAAUGGUACUAACAUUCUCACCAACAUAUUCAUGUAUUUUCCAUAGAUACACAUACUAUACAUCCACAUAUGGGGUCCCCAGACAUCUCACUGGUAGCUUUCUGUCUAUUCUUUUAGAAAAGGCAGAGUAAACCCAUUAAUAAAAAACAUGGA